CACCUGUUUAUCAAAAACAUGGUUUUUAGAAUAUAAUUUAAAAUUGGUCCUGCUCAAUGAAAAAUUUAAAUAGCUGCAGUAAAUUGACUGUACAAAGGUAGCAUAAUCAAUUGCUUUUUAAAUGGAAGCUAGUAUGAAGGGGUUGAUGAAAUUUUAACUGUUUCAAAGUAAAUAUAAGAAUUUAUAAAUUAAGUGAUAAUUCUUAAAUAGAGUUAAGGGACGAGAAGACCCUAUAGAAUUUUAUAUAAAAAAAAUUAAGUAAUAUAUAAUUGUAUUUAUAUUUAAUUGGGAGGAUUGUUAAAUUUUAAAAACUUUAAUUAAAAAUAAAAUAUAAAUUGAUGAAUUAAAGAGUUGAAUUAUAAAAUAAGAAAGAAUUAAUUACCUUAGGGAUAACAGCGUAAUAUUUUUGGAGAGAUCAUAUUAAUAAAAAUGUUUGCGACCUCGAUGUUGAAUUAAGAUAAAAAUUAAAUGGAGAGAUUUAAUAUUUAAGUCUGU
RNAcentral lists this ribosomal RNA (495 nucleotides) under Cardiocondyla wroughtonii. Its description in RNAcentral is "partial 16S large subunit ribosomal RNA". The record is from RNAcentral. Lineage: Eukaryota; Metazoa; Arthropoda; Insecta; Hymenoptera; Formicidae.